UCUGUUCUUCUUCUUCGAACGAAGGGAAAAUUCACGGGUGAUGAGAAAACGGCGAAACCAGCACAGAAAAUUCAGAAACGGGCCUCUGCUAAAUCCCAAUCUAACUUCGAUUACUCAAUCAAGAAGAAGAAGGGUUACAGAUUUGAGAUCAGUGUUACUGAAUGUAGAGCUCAGGGAGAAUUGUUUCAGAAGAGUCGGAGAGGAUCGAACGGGUUUGCUGUGGAGAAUGAGACUAUUCGAUUGUCAAUCUCCAUAUGGGAAGGUUUUGUUUCGGAACUCAUGGUCUUUUUCCUUGACGUUUGCUUUGAAGAUUCUGCCUGGAAUCAGACCCUUUUGAUUGGCUCUAACGAACAUUUAGCAAGGCUCCACGGGCAUCUGAAGGAACUCCUCUUUAAGCCUUUUUAUCAGUGUGAUCAUCAUGGGAAUGGCGUCGUCUCGUAUCUCAGCGUUUUUCUAUUGCAUUUUGUACUCAUUUUACUGUCUAAUUCUCAGGAUUUUAUCCAAGAAUGGAUGGGCCUUUCUGUUCCAUAUUGUAGAAUCUCAAGGAUGACUUCUCCUGCUAUCAUUGGCACCACCGAUUAGGGGUGGAUACCUAAAAUUUUCGAGUUAUUUGAACC
Long non-coding RNA from Tarenaya hassleriana, 617 nucleotides. RefSeq lists it as uncharacterized. The record is from RefSeq and is a predicted model, not a curated record. The transcript has 2 exons. Lineage: Eukaryota; Viridiplantae; Streptophyta; Magnoliopsida; Brassicales; Cleomaceae.